This 1271-nucleotide ribosomal RNA is filed under the name Staphylococcus sp. RNAcentral's name for it is "bacterial SSU rRNA". It matches the Rfam family "Bacterial small subunit ribosomal RNA", at positions 199 to 1478 of the family's 1533-position model. The record is from RNAcentral. Lineage: Bacteria; Bacillati; Bacillota; Bacilli; Caryophanales; Staphylococcaceae.
CGUCUUUGGUGCUGCCACCUAUAUAGAUUGAAUCCGCGCCGUAUAGCUAGUUGUAGGUACGGCUACAACGGCACGAACCGUAGGCGAACUGAGAGGUGAUCGUCACACUGACUGAGACACCGUCAGACUCCUACCGGAGGCAGCAGUAGGGAUCCUCGCAAUGGGCGAAAGCCUGACCGAGCACGCGCGGGAGUGAUGAAGGUCUUCGGAUCGUAAACUCUGUUAUCAGGGAAGAACAAAUGUGUAAGUAACUGUGCACAUCUUGACGGUACCUGAUCAGAAAGCACGGCUAACUACGUGCCAGCAGCCGCGGUAAUACGUAGGUGGCAAGCGUUAUCCGGGAAUUAUUGGGCGUAAAGCGCGCGUAGGCGGUUUUUUAAGUCUGAUGUGAAAGCCCACGGCUCAACCGUGGAGGGUCAUUGGAAACUGGAAAACUUGAGUGCAGAAGAGGAAAGUGGAAUUCCAUGUGUAGCGGUGAAAUGCGCAGAGAUAUGGAGGAACACCAGUGGCGAAGGCGACUUUCUGGUCUGUAACUGACGCUGAUGUGCGAAAGCGUGGGGAUCAAACAGGAUUAGAUACCCUGGUAGUCCACGCCGUAAACGAUGAGUGCUAAGUGUUAGGGGGUUUCCGCCCCUUAGUGCUGCAGCUAACGCAUUAAGCACUCCGCCUGGGGAGUACGACCGCAAGGUUGAAACUCAAAGGAAUUGACGGGGACCCGCACAAGCGGUGGAGCAUGUGGUUUAAUUCGAAGCAACGCGAAGAACCUUACCAAAUCUUGACAUCCUUUGACCGCUCUAGAGAUAGAGUCUUCCCCUUCGGGGGACAAAGUGACAGGUGGUGCAUGGUUGUCGUCAGCUCGUGUCGUGAGAUGUUGGGUUAAGUCCCGCAACGAGCGCAACCCUUAAGCUUAGUUGCCAUCAUUAAGUUGGGCACUCUAAGUUGACUGCCGGUGACAAACCGGAGGAAGGUGGGGAUGACGUCAAAUCAUCAUGCCCCUUAUGAUUUGGGCUACACACGUGCUACAAUGGACAAUACAAAGGGCAGCUAAACCGCGAGGUCAAGCAAAUCCCAUAAAGUUGUUCUCAGUUCGGAUUGUAGUCUGCAACUCGACUACAUGAAGCUGGAAUCGCUAGUAAUCGUAGAUCAGCAUGCUACGGUGAAUACGUUCCCGGGUCUUGUACACACCGCCCGUCACACCACGAGAGUUUGUAACACCCGAAGCCGGUGGAGUAACCAUUUAUGGAGCUAGCCGUCGAAGUGACAAUAAUUUG